UAAGGAAUAUUGGACAAUGGAGGCAACUCUGAUCCAGCCAUGCCGCGUGAAGGAAUAAGGCCCUAUGGGUUGUAAACUUCUUUUAGACGGGACAAAACCCCUUUACGUGUAAAGGGUUGAUGGUACUGUCAGAAUAAGCAUCGGCUAACUUCGUGCCAGCAGCCGCGGUAAUACGAAGGAUGCAAGCGUUAUCCGGAAUUAUUGGGUUUAAAGGGUGCGUAGGCGGACUAAUAAGUCAGUGGUGAAAGCCUGCAGCUUAACUGCAGAAUUGCCAUUGAUACUGUUAGUCUUGAGUACAGUUGAGGUAGGCGGAAUGUGUCAUGUAGCGGUGAAAUGCUUAGAUAUGACACAGAACACCGAUUGCGAAGGCAGCUUGCUAAGCUGUAACUGACGCUGAGGCACGAAAGCGUGGGG
This 414-nucleotide ribosomal RNA is filed under the name uncultured bacterium. RNAcentral's name for it is "bacterial SSU rRNA". It matches the Rfam family "Bacterial small subunit ribosomal RNA", at positions 355 to 766 of the family's 1533-position model. The record is from RNAcentral.